CUGAGGGUGGUUAGUUCUAUAUCCUGUUUCUCCCAACAGCUCCAAAAGAUGGUUUCUCAGAAUGUAUAAUGAAGGGACUGGGAGCUCCGCCAGGCUGACCCUUCAUUUUGCAGUGGAAGCAGAGUCUCAAAGAAUGAGAAUUUGGAAGACAAGAAGGACCACUGGAACCUGAUAGAACUCUUCUCUAGUACUGGUGAAGUUACCUUCCUCCUGAAAUUUAAAAAAGAACAAACUGAGAUAGUGUCCCUGUAGUAUAAUUUUAUGUUCCAAAAUUAUUUGGGUGUGUUUUCAUGGAGACAGCUAAUACAUAACAUGUUAAUCUGCAACCCUAUUUGGGUUGUCUUUUUGCUAAGACUGACCACUGUUAGAAGACAAGGGCACUGUCUCCCUCCGUAAUAUGGACACUGAUGGCAGCACACAGAGGCACAUAGUGAAUGUUUACUCAACCAAUGGACUAAGGGAGUGGAUGCAGCUCAUUGAGUGAGGCUCAUUCUUUAGGCAAAGAAGGAGCAAGGGAUAAAUAACAUGCAACUUCCAGAAAGAGCAACAAGGAUACCAUUCCGGUAAAGAGUAGAAAAGACUAGUUUCCGGCUAGCAUCUGCCAAAGUUGGUCAGGAAGGAGGACAGCAAUGAUGAUCAUUUCUCAGAAAAUGUUUCUGUUCAGGCACGGAUGCAAUUGGCCUGGGAAACAAAGCCAUGCCGAGGAGCAGAGGCCAGGGGUCUUGCUGACCACCCUCCCUUUCCCUUACUUCAGCUUUCUCCCCCUCUCCCCACUCCUGCUAGUUAGCAGGGGACCCUGGAGUGUGAUUCAGAGUCCACCAGUCUCUGGAACUCAGGAAGGACUCGAAUUGUCAAGACGAGAGGAAAAAGAGGCCACAUCCAGAGGCUUUGACGGCUGUACUGCAAAACCUGACUGGUUAUAAAUUCUUGCUAAUGAAGAGAAUCAGGAAUUAUGGAAAAGUAGAAACUUCAGAAAUCACACAUACAAAACUUUGAGACCACUUUUAAAAAGCCUUAGAAGAUACUCUGAAGCACACAUUUGCCAAUGUGAAGUUUUCAACAGAAUCAAUAGGAUGGAGGCUGUGUAUGAGACUGUAUUAGUCAGCGUUCUGUCAAUGUGACAAAAAUACCCGAGUUAACUUAAAAGGAGGAACAAUUUAUUUUGACUCAUGGUGUCAGAGGUUUCAGCCCAUGGUGGGCCCAUUCACUUUGGGGCCCACAGUGAAGCAGAACAUCAUGGCAGUGGGAGCAUGUGGCAAGGAGGCUGCUCACUUCAGGGUGGCCAGGAAGCAGAGAGAGAGAGAGUUUGCCUCCAACUAGGCUCUACCUACUAAUGUUUGAUGGCCCCCAACUGCAGAGAGCAGUGAUCUAAAUCAUGGCCUGACUUUCAUGGCUGCAGUUGUGCUGGGAGCUGCCUGAGGAAAGGUGCAGGUCAAGAUGCCCCAGUAGUUAUGGUAACACCAGCUAGGAGAGGCUGCAUGUAUGGCUCUAUCAGUUGAGGCCUUGAGUUCAGCACCUUCUCCCAGGGAUAGAGAAUUUUGAGCAAAACAAGGUGACCCUAAUGUCUCUGGAGUCCUGUGUCCUUCAGAUUGCUUGCUUUGCUGAAACUUACUAACAAUGAAACUUUUAAUGAUAAAACCUGUAUAAUAAACUUGCUGAGCUAGCUCUGAGUUAGCCAAGCCUCACCAGGGCUUGGCCACCCACCUGGCCCUAGCUUUUUCUCCCUA
Molecule: non-coding RNA, 1727 nt
Organism: Marmota flaviventris (yellow-bellied marmot)
Lineage: Eukaryota; Metazoa; Chordata; Mammalia; Rodentia; Sciuridae
Source: RefSeq, a predicted model, not a curated record